GAACUCGGCAAACCAGAUGUUGCGCCGGUUGUUGUCCAGCGUGCGGCUGGAGAAGUAGCGGUCGAAGCCUGGCAGGGAACCAGGACGUCAGGGCCUCACUGGCCUUCUUCCCCACCAGCCCCAGCCCUCCCCGCCUCCCCCAGGAUAAGAGAUGGUCCAGGCGGAGGGAGAGAGACCAGGAGGAGCACAUCCUCUGAUCCAGGAGAAAACAAAAUGUGGAGCAUUUCGUUUCUUUCAAAAUGAAAAGAGCUGUAUUAGGUCCCAGGGGGAUCGUGUGUAAUCUACAACUGCUGCCUUUAUGGAAGAGAAGCACACCGAUGAGGAUGUUUCCACGGCCUUUAACCGCUGCAAUGCUAACAGCGGGCUUUGAGAAGGAGCCGCCUGGGAGUCCUGAGAUUACAGCACAGAGGCUGGUGGGGCUGCCCAACCCGGGGAGCACCUGAAGAGGAGACCAGGCCAGACAAGGAGGGAGGGAACCACCCAGAUCACACAGCAAGACCAGGACCUGGACCUUCUUCCUUCACAUCCAGGACGUCCCCAUCACUGACAGAGGCUGCCUGCCUCCUCCACAUGCUCUGCGUGGCUCACACUUCUGCUCUCAGCCUUGGAAAGCCUGUCCUAGGGUGGGCAGGCUGGCGGUGAACAACACCCCCUCCUCCUCCCAGACGCCCCCCUGCCAUACUGACUGUUCUAGGCACUGUGGACUGAGCUGCUCUGUAUGGGCCAGAGGCCUGAAAGCUCAGCGGGGCCACGUGGAGCUUCCUGCCCAUGGAAGCGUCCAAGUGGAAGCAAAAUGACCGGCCACGUGGCAGGAGACGCACUGGCAUCGAGCAGGAGGUUUGGCCUGCAGUAGGAUUUCUCAGCCUCGGCACUGUGGACGCUCUGGGCGGGAUAAUUCCUGUGGGGGGCCAUCCUGUGCACCGUACGAUACUGAGCAGUACCCCGACCUCUACCCACUGGAGGCCAGCAGCAGCAUCCCCCAACUGUGACAACCAAAAAUGGCUCCAGAAAUUGCCAAAUAUCCCCUUGGGGGGCAAAAUCGCCCCCAGAUAAGGACCAUUGUUCUAAAAGUUUCUCUAAUGUUCCUGAGAGAAAAAGUACUUGUCAGGCAAGUCCUGGAUUCUGGUCCCAACUCUGCCACUCGCUGUACUGUGUGUGUCUCAAGCUCUCUGAGCCCUGUGUAUCCAUCUACUAAAUGCGGGGAAGAGUGCAUCACAGGGAUGCUGGGGAGGCUAAAGGAGAUGUCUGUAAGGGGCCUGGCACUGCUGGGGGCGAAGCCUGAAUGUAAAUAAUGGAGCCCAGGCAGCAGUGUUGUGGCCAGAGGGGGUUUCAAGUGAUACUCUGUGCUCAGCGUCCACACGCGUGGGGUGGGUACCCACGUGCACCUGGACGUCUCCCUCCGUCCUGCCUUCUGCUGGGAUUUUACUUUCUCCACCAAGACAUCAAUUCCUUAUCAUGAGUGCUCAGGAAAUCGGCCUGCAAAGGAUGAGCAAGUGAAGAAAGGUGCAUGCUGGCUGUGCAAAGGCACCGGGUCACAAGGGCCCUGCCUGAAGACAG
RNAcentral lists this long non-coding RNA (1557 nucleotides) under Homo sapiens (human). Its description in RNAcentral is "HSALNT0105317". Lineage: Eukaryota; Metazoa; Chordata; Mammalia; Primates; Hominidae. The record is from RNAcentral.